CGCGUUGCGCUUCUUACCAUGCAGUCGAGCGCGAAAGAGGUCUUUCGGGACUUCGAGUAGAGCGGCAGACGGGUGAGUAACACGUGGGUAACCUGCCUCUGGGUGGGGGAUAACCACCGGAAACGGUGGCUAAUACCGCAUAAGACCACGUCCUUGCGGGGAUGGGGUCAAAGGUCCUUCGGGGCCGCCGAGAGAGGGGCCCGCGGCCGAUUAGCUGGUUGGCGGGGUAAUGGCCCACCAAGGCGGCGAUCGGUAGCUGGUCUGAGAGGAUGAUCAGCCACACUAGUACUGAGACACGGACCAGACUCCUACGGGAGGCAGCAGUGGGGAAUAUUGCGCAAUGGGCGAAAGCCUGACGCAGCAACGCCGCGUGGGUGAUGAAGGCCUUCGGGUCGUAAAGCCCUGUCAGGUGGGAAGAACCCCUCGCAAGGGGGCUGACGGUACCACCGAAGGAAGCACCGGCUAACUCCGUGCCAGCAGCCGCGGUAAUACGGAGGGUGCAAGCGUUGUUCGGAAUUACUGGGCGUAAAGGGCGCGUAGGCGGCCUCAUCAGUCCGGUGUGAAAGCCCGGGGCUCAACCCCGGAAGUGCACUGGAUACUGUGGGGCUUGAGUUCGGGAGAGGAGGGCAGAAUUCCCGGUGUAGGGGUGAAAUCCGUAGAUAUCGGGAGGAAAACCAGUGGCGAAGGCGGCCCUCUGGAACAGAACUGACGCUGAGGCGCGAAAGCGUGGGGAGCAAACAGGAUUAGAUACCCUGGUAGUCCACGCCCUAAACGAUGUCAACUGGUUGUUGGGAAUUUACUUUCUCAGUAACGAAGCUAACGCGUGAAGUUGACCGCCUGGGGAGUACGGCCGCAAGGUUGAAACUCAAAGGAAUUGACGG
This 881-nucleotide ribosomal RNA is filed under the name uncultured delta proteobacterium. Its description in RNAcentral is "bacterial SSU rRNA". It matches the Rfam family "Bacterial small subunit ribosomal RNA", at positions 38 to 916 of the family's 1533-position model. Lineage: Bacteria; Deltaproteobacteria. The record is from RNAcentral.